Molecule: non-coding RNA, 3465 nt
Organism: Loxodonta africana (African savanna elephant)
Lineage: Eukaryota; Metazoa; Chordata; Mammalia; Proboscidea; Elephantidae
Source: the annotation of a RefSeq genome assembly
ACCUACAUCUGCAACGUCGCCCACUCGGCCAGCAACACCAAGGUGGACAAGAAGAUCGUGCCACCCAAAGUGGGAGGAAAAUGCAAGUGCACAGCCCAAGGACACCCUCACGACCUCCCGAACCCCCGAGGUGACGUGCCUAGUGGUAGAUGUUGGCCAGGAAGACCUGAACGUCCAGUUCACCUGGUACGUGGAUGGUAAACAGAUGAACACGGCCAAGACCAACGAGCCGAAGGGGCAGUACAACAGCACGUACCACGUGGUCAGUGCACUCCCCAUCUCGCACCAAGACUGGCUCGAGGGCAAAGAGUUCAAGUGCAAGGUCAACAAUACUGCCCUCCCAUCACCUGUUGAGAAGGUCAUCUCCAAGGCCAAAGGCCAACCCCAUGAGCCACAGGUGUAUGCCUUACCCCCACACCGAGAUGAGCUGACCAAGGACAAGGUCAGCCUCACAUGCCUGGUGAAGGGAUUCUACCCCUCUGACAUUGAUGUUACAUGGCAAAAGAACCAGCAGCCACAGCCUGAGAACAGCUAUGCGAACACUGAAGCCCAGCUCGAGGCUGAUGGAACCUUCUUCCUGUACAGCAAGCUCACACUGCCCAAGAAGAGCUGGCAGCAAGGAAACACCUAUUACUGUGUGGUUCUGCAUGAGGCGCUGCCCAACCACCACACCCAGAAGGCCGUCUCCCUGUCUCCCGAGCUGCACCCAGAUGAGAGCUGUGCGGAGGCUCAGGAUGGGGAGCUGGACGGGCUGUGGACCACCAUCUCCAUCUUCAUCACGCUCUUCCUGCUCAGCGUGUGCUACAGUGCCACCGUCACCCUCAUCAAGGUGAAGUGGAUCUUCUCCUCAGUGGUGGAGAUGAAGCGAAACAUCGUCCCCGACUACAGGAAUAUGAUCGGGCAGGCUGCCUAGGGGCUGCUGAGAGAGGAAAACGCAUAAGCCGAACUGAACAACAAGCUUCAGGUGGCUCCACCCUCCACCCAAGUCCCAACCUGCCCUCUGACCCCACCGUUUCAGACACCUCACUGCCCUCUGACCAUGCUAUCUCAUAUCUCUCCUGUCAGAGAAACUGGUGGACAGCAGGUUCUCCCACAGACCCAGCAGCCUGGAUGCCCUGCUACCCCAUACCUAAAUAGCAUUUACAGCAGCACCAGGAGCGCCGGUGGGGUCAUUGCACUGGGAGACCCUCAGAAUCAGCUGUGAAUGUCCAUUCUGGAGGAGGGGAUGGGCCAGUAUUCCCCAUGUCCAUUUGGAGCAGGGACCUGAGUUCAAACCCCACCCCAGGCCUGGCUCAGAAAGACACCAAAUCUCAAAGAUCCUUGGUGGGGACAUCAUGCACCAAGGCAGGGGAGCCACUGAUCAUCAACCUCAAAAGGGAUACUCCUUGAGAAGUGCUGCAACCUUCACUGAAUGGCCCUUCCUCCAGCCCUCGCCUGGCCAGUUCCACCCUGGGAGACCGCAGGGAUUCCCCCACCACGUCUAUGGCCCUGGCCUGAGGAAGAGGCUCCUUUUCAUUUUGAACUGGAAACUUGGUCUCUGGUCUUGGGAAAGGGCUUUCCAUCCAAUCCUGACCUCCUACACAGAGCUCUUAGAUAUGGGGCUCAACCCAAGGGACAGAACCUCUGCCUGCAUGGUGGCCAAGUGAGGGGCUUGGCCCAGGAUACCCACCAUCUCCCAGCCACCAACCCAGUUCCAGCUAAAGGCCCAACCUCGCCACCACACAAGAGACCACCUGAGAAGGCCUGGGCCAUACCCGUGGACACUGCAGGGUCUAGAGGGUGCAAUGGCAGGGCUCCUGGGGUGAGGAUGGGCAUCUGUGCCAAACAGGAAGGGCAUCAGGUCUGAGGGGCAAGUAGCCAGACAGCCUCCUAGAAAGAGGCCUGGUGACCAGUGCUCCAAGUGGUCAGGGCAUGCCAUGGGAGGCCUCCUCCUUGGGCCUCUGGACAGAGGUGGCCGAAGACAAAGAGAAUGGAAGAGAGGAAAAUGACCAGAUACUGGGAGUGGGCAUCUGGCCAACAAGACUCUGAUGGGAAACCGGGCCAGCCCAGCCACAGGCACUGCACAGAGGUCCCGGGGCCAAGCAUUGCCACCCCUCUGGGCUCUCUGUCUCCCAUCUUCCCUUCCAGCAAAUACUCAGCAGAGUCACACCACAAAGGAACCAGAGUGCUGAGCCCGCUUCUUAAGGUGGGAAGAAGAAUGACACAAAUGGAAGCAAACCACACCAAAGAAAGCCACAUCCAUCAGCUCUGUAGCUUCUUACCUCUUUUUAAUUUUCUGAAUUUCCUUUCAUGUAAAUGUGUUGUUCUUGUUUUUUAAUUACAUUACAAUGGACUUAAACUGCAUGAUUUAUCAUGGUUGUAGUCUUUCUAUGGUGACACCCUUUGAGCCCUUCAAGUGCCAGCCCCAGGAAUGAGUUGAGCCAAGCCAUGAGCCCAGAGCACCCGGAACUCAGCACCCAACACUGGCCAGGGUCCCUUUGGUGUCCCCAGCAUCGGUGUCCUUUGUUCUCCAGGAGACUUUCAGCUUGCAGCUGGGGGGGCAUCAGAUUUGCCUGCCCAUUUGCCCUGUGGUGUAGGCAGGACAAAGGAGUCUGAGGACAGCCUCCACCCUCACUGGAGUGACAGUGGCUGGCACUGUAUAGAACAAGGCCCCCAGCUGAUCAUCGUGGGCCCAGGAGUUUGAGAACAGCAAGUCAGGAGUAAUGAUCUCAGCACCUGAAAUGGAUGGAUCCAGUAGGUUCCAGGAGGUUCAAGGAGGCUGUUGAGGGAAACAGCUGAGGCUUGGGGAGCAAACCCCCAAGGGACAGCACAGAAGGCGUGUCUAGCCUUGGUCAUCCUGAGGGAGAAGCCUCUGUUCUGCUGGAAGGCAACCAGAACUGGGCGGGAUGACCAACAAAGGGCCAUGGAAGAGCUGGGACAAAAGCACCUUUGAGUUACUGACCCAUGUCCUGGAGGCUAUAGAGAGAUACAGAUAAUUUUAUGCAGGGAAGGGGUAUGGAUGGGUUCAUUGGAUGGUGGUGCAUGGGAGCUGCUCUGAAGACAGGGAAGACAGAAGGGGCAGCUAUGAGAUUCCAGGUCCAACUUCUGGAACGGCUGUGGGUGGGACCCAUGGGCCAUGGCACUGACAUGAUUGGGUCCUUCCCACUUGGCUUACUUCCAUAGUGCUGCCUUAAGAGAAAUACCACAACUGAGAGCCAGAAUUUAUUGUCUCACAAUUCUGGAGGCUAGAAUCAGAGCAUCAGCUCUAAGGGGGGACGGGGACCUAUCUUUGUUGAUAGCCCCAGCAGUUCCUUUGCAUUCCUUGGUGAUUGUCUUCACCCUGUGUGUGUCCCUGUGUCUAUCCUGCUCUUUUUAUAAGACACCAGUCAGAAAUGAUAAGGUGUAGGACCCACCUUACUCAGUAUGACCUCAUUACAUGACAAAGUAUACCCUGUUUCCAAACAGGGUCACAUAUACAGGUACGGG